UACCGCCUACGGGGCGCAGCAGUGGGGAAUAUUGGGCAAUGGGCGCAAGCCUGACCCAGCAACGCCGCGUGAAGGAAGAAGGCUUUCGGGUUGUAAACUUCUUUUCUCAGGGACGAAUAGAUGACGGUACAUGAGGAAUAAGCCACGGCUAACUAUGUGCCAGCAGCCGCGGUAAUACGUAGGUGGCAAGCGUUAUCCGGAUUUACUGGGUGUAAAGGGCGUGUAGGCGGGGACGCAAGUCAGAUGUGAAAACCACGGGCUCAACCUGUGGCCUGCACUUGAAACUGUGGUUCUUGAGUACUGGG
This 305-nucleotide ribosomal RNA is filed under the name uncultured bacterium. Its description in RNAcentral is "bacterial SSU rRNA". It matches the Rfam family "Bacterial small subunit ribosomal RNA", at positions 333 to 653 of the family's 1533-position model. The record is from RNAcentral.